RNAcentral lists this long non-coding RNA (355 nucleotides) under Elaeis guineensis (African oil palm). RNAcentral's name for it is "long non-coding RNA (EGUI_LNC039861)". Lineage: Eukaryota; Viridiplantae; Streptophyta; Magnoliopsida; Arecales; Arecaceae. The record is from RNAcentral.
AGCAUACCACAAAGUCUUGUAGAGACUCUCUAUCUUGCUGCCUAUGGAAAAAAGACUGUCAGAUAUCUAUGACGCCUUCCGAUUGGUACCAAACUAUGCCAAGAAAAGCUGUUCGAGCUAGGUGAAUGAAUGGAUACUCCCCGAUUGAAGUCAAGAGUACCAUGUUCGAGUGAUUUUUCUAAGGAUGAUUGGGAAGGCAAUGCAGAGGAGAGUGUCAGAUGCCCACUGAAGAAGCAUGAGAGCUUUGUAGCUCUUAAGGUGGCUGAGUGGAUCGAUGGAGCCAUCAUAUGGUUCUACCUGCGGCAUCUUGAACUGACCUGAAAUCGGUUUAUCGAGAAUUCAUCGAGAGAAGGGC